This 219-nucleotide unclassified non-coding RNA is filed under the name plant metagenome. RNAcentral's name for it is "partial contains small subunit ribosomal RNA, internal transcribed spacer 1, and 5.8S ribosomal RNA". The record is from RNAcentral.
UUUCCGUAGGUGAACCUGCGGAAGGAUCAUUACAGAGUUCAUGCCCUCACGGGUAGAUCUCCCACCCUUGAAUAUUUAUACCUUAGUUGCUUUGGCAGGCCGUGGAAACACCAUGGGCUCCGGCUUAUGCGUGCCUGCCAGAGGAAACAAACUCUGUUUUUAGUGAUGUCUGAGUACUAUAUAAUAGUUAAAACUUUCAACAACGGAUCUCUUGGUUCU